GGUGCUUUUGGUUUAUUUCCUUUGUUUCUCACUUCUCUAGCUUGUUAGUAAUGAGCAAUAAAUCUUACUAUCUGUCUUCUUAUCUUGAAUCAAAUAGUUGAAAAUAUAUGAAAAACCUCACAGACCAACCCUGACAUGUCUCUAUUCAUGCAUCACCUGCUGUCUGAUACACAACAAAGGAAAAGAAAGACUAUGGAAAAUUAGAAUAAAGUUUGUGACCAAGCAAAUUAAUUAAACAGAUUUUUUAAAUCACAAUAUUUUGAAAAUAGGAACAGCGCAAAUGAGAUUAUACUUUGUCAUCUUGUUCUCUGCAUUGCAACCAAACAAGUUUCCUCACAGGUGACCAGUGAGAAGUCACGUGAAAUAAUAUGGAUUGACAUCUUCUUCACACAUCAGAUAUCCCGAAUCUUCUGGAAAUCACUGACUGCCCAGAGAAGGUACCCUGCAGUCUCUCCAGCAAGCAAUGAAAAUACUGAGGUCUUGACAGAAGAUAAGCAAGUGAAUGAAGUUCACAUAUGCUUAAAUUCAUCUAUCUUCAUUGAAACAUACAAUUACAUCCCCUUAAUCAAAACUGCCUAUCUGUUUUGCUGAGACAGACUUAAGAGCAUGAUAGAGGCUUAGUUUCAGGUGAUUAUGAUGAUGACCAUGGUUUCUGAUGGCCUUGGAAGUCUGACCACUGGCAGUGGGCUUCAUGGGAACAACUGAUGUAUGCCUGCCUCAAGUGUUUCAUUGUACUGUUUAAAAAUCAUUAAAAAUUCAUUCUCUUGAAAAUA
Non-coding RNA from Anas platyrhynchos (mallard), 773 nucleotides. Lineage: Eukaryota; Metazoa; Chordata; Aves; Anseriformes; Anatidae. The record is from RefSeq and is a predicted model, not a curated record.